AGGACGAACGCUGGCGGCGUGCUUAACACAUGCAAGUCGAGCGGAAAGGCCCUUCGGGGUACUCGAGCGGCGAACGGGCGAGUAACACGUGAGUAACCUGCCCCUAGCUCUGGGAUAGCUCCGGGAAACCGGGAUUAAUACCAGAUACGACCACUUUAGACAUCUGUCGUGGUGGAAAGGAUUCCGGCUAGGGAUGGGCUCGCGGCCUAUCAGCUUGUUGGUGGGUAACGGCCUACCAAGGCGACGACGGGUAGCCGGCCUGAGAGGGCGACCGGCCACACUGGGACUGAGACACGGCCCAGACUCCUACGGGAGGCAGCAGUGGGAAUAUUGCGCAAUGGGCGAAAGCCUGACGCAGCGACGCCGCGUGGGGAUGAAGGCCUUCGGGUUGUAAACCCCUUUCAGCAGGGACGAAGCGAAAGUGACGGUACCUGCAGAAGAAGCGCCGGCUAACUACGUGCCAGCAGCCGC
This 471-nucleotide ribosomal RNA is filed under the name uncultured bacterium. Its description in RNAcentral is "SSU rRNA". It matches the Rfam family "Bacterial small subunit ribosomal RNA", at positions 26 to 518 of the family's 1533-position model. The record is from RNAcentral.